RNAcentral lists this ribosomal RNA (854 nucleotides) under Pseudomonas trivialis. RNAcentral's name for it is "bacterial SSU rRNA". It matches the Rfam family "Bacterial small subunit ribosomal RNA", at positions 81 to 930 of the family's 1533-position model. Lineage: Bacteria; Pseudomonadati; Pseudomonadota; Gammaproteobacteria; Pseudomonadales; Pseudomonadaceae. The record is from RNAcentral.
UGCUUCUCUUGAGAGCGGCGGACGGGUGAGUAAUGCCUAGGAAUCUGCCUGGUAGUGGGGGAUAACGUUCGGAAACGGACGCUAAUACCGCAUACGUCCUACGGGAGAAAGCAGGGGACCUUCGGGCCUUGCGCUAUCAGAUGAGCCUAGGUCGGAUUAGCUAGUUGGUGAGGUAAUGGCUCACCAAGGCGACGAUCCGUAACUGGUCUGAGAGGAUGAUCAGUCACACUGGAACUGAGACACGGUCCAGACUCCUACGGGAGGCAGCAGUGGGGAAUAUUGGACAAUGGGCGAAAGCCUGAUCCAGCCAUGCCGCGUGUGUGAAGAAGGUCUUCGGAUUGUAAAGCACUUUAAGUUGGGAGGAAGGGCAGUUACCUAAUACGUGAUUGUUUUGACGUUACCGACAGAAUAAGCACCGGCUAACUCUGUGCCAGCAGCCGCGGUAAUACAGAGGGUGCAAGCGUUAAUCGGAAUUACUGGGCGUAAAGCGCGCGUAGGUGGUUUGUUAAGUUGGAUGUGAAAUCCCCGGGCUCAACCUGGGAACUGCAUUCAAAACUGACUGACUAGAGUAUGGUAGAGGGUGGUGGAAUUUCCUGUGUAGCGGUGAAAUGCGUAGAUAUAGGAAGGAACACCAGUGGCGAAGGCGACCACCUGGACUAAUACUGACACUGAGGUGCGAAAGCGUGGGGAGCAAACAGGAUUAGAUACCCUGGUAGUCCACGCCGUAAACGAUGUCAACUAGCCGUUGGAAGCCUUGAGCUUUUAGUGGCGCACCUAACGCAUUAAGUUGACCGCCUGGGGAGUACGGCCGCAAGGUUAAAACUCAAAUGAAAUUGACGGGGGCCCGCACAAGC